The sequence is a ribosomal RNA, 962 nucleotides long. It matches the Rfam family "Eukaryotic small subunit ribosomal RNA", at positions 49 to 1021 of the family's 1831-position model.
CCAUGCACGUAUAAGCACAAGCCCAUGAAUGGUGAAGCCGCGAAUGGCUCAUUACAACAGCCAUAGUUUAUUAGAUUUUGCAGUACUUGGGUAACUGUAGCAAUUCUAGAGCUAAUACAUGCAUUUAAGUCCCUACCUUGCGGAAAGGACGCAUUUAUUAGACCAAAACCAAUCGGGUUUUCCCGUUGUUUGGUGAAUCUGAAUAACUUUGCUGAUCGCAUGGUCCUCGUACCAGCGACGUAUCUUUCAAAUGUCUGCCUUAUCAACUUUCGAUGGUAGUUUAUGCGCCUACCAUGGUUGUAACGGGUAACGGAGAAUUAGGGUUCGACUCCGGAGAGGGAGCCUGAGAAACGGCUACCACAUCCAAGGAAGGCAGCAGGCACGCAAAUUACCCACUCCCGGCACGGGGAGGUAGUGACGAAAAAUAACGAGACGGUUCUCUAUGAGGCCCGUCAUCGGAAUGGGUACAAUUUAAAUCCUUUAACGAGGAUCUAUUGGAGGGCAAGUCUGGUGCCAGCAGCCGCGGUAAUUCCAGCUCCAAAAGCGUAUAUUAAAGUUGUUGCGGUUAAAAAGCUCGUAGUUGGAUCUCUGCCCUUGGUUGGCGGUCCCCUAAACGGAGGUACUGCUAUACCGGGCUCAUAUAUCUGGUUUGCCUUUGGUGCUCUUUACUGAGUGCCUUUGGUGACUGGAACGUUUACUUUGAAAAAAUUAGAGUGCUUAAAGCAGGCGGUCAGCCUGAAUAGUGGUGCAUGGAAUAAUGGAAUAGGACUUCGGUUCUAUUUUGUUGGUUGAAGGGAUCGAAGUAAUGAUUAAGAGGGACAGACGGGGGCAUUCGUAUUGUGCCGUUAGAGGUGAAAUUCUUGGAUCGGCGCAAGACGAACUACUGCGAAAGCAUUUGCCAAGAAUGUUUUCAUUAAUCAAGAACGAAAGUUAGAGGUUCGAAGGCGAUCAGAUACCGCCCU